GGAUGCGAGCAUACCAGCACUAACACACCGGGUCCCAUCAAACCUCUGAAGUUAGGCGUGUUUGGACGAGAGUAGUACUAGAAUGGGUGACCCCCUUGGAAGUCCUAGUUUUGCAUGCC
Molecule: ribosomal RNA, 119 nt
Filed under: Solanum lycopersicum (tomato)
Lineage: Eukaryota; Viridiplantae; Streptophyta; Magnoliopsida; Solanales; Solanaceae
Source: RNAcentral